Molecule: ribosomal RNA, 571 nt
Filed under: Salmonella enterica subsp. enterica serovar Bareilly
Lineage: Bacteria; Pseudomonadati; Pseudomonadota; Gammaproteobacteria; Enterobacterales; Enterobacteriaceae
Description: partial 23S ribosomal RNA
Rfam family: Bacterial large subunit ribosomal RNA
Source: RNAcentral
ACCCUUUAAUGUUUGAUGUUCUAACGUGGACCCGUAAUCCGGGUUGCGGACAGUGUCUGGUGGGUAGUUUGACUGGGGCGGUCUCCUCCUAAAGAGUAACGGAGGAGCACGAAGGUUGGCUAAUCCUGGUCGGACAUCAGGAGGUUAGUGCAAUGGCAUAAGCCAGCUUGACUGCGAGCGUGACGGCGCGAGCAGGUGCGAAAGCAGGUCAUAGUGAUCCGGUGGUUCUGAAUGGAAGGGCCAUCGCUCAACGGAUAAAAGGUACUCCGGGGAUAACAGGCUGAUACCGCCCAAGAGUUCAUAUCGACGGCGGUGUUUGGCACCUCGAUGUCGGCUCAUCACAUCCUGGGGCUGAAGUAGGUCCCAAGGGUAUGGCUGUUCGCCAUUUAAAGUGGUACGCGAGCUGGGUUUAGAACGUCGUGAGACAGUUCGGUCCCUAUCUGCCGUGGGCGCUGGAGAACUGAGGGGGGCUGCUCCUAGUACGAGAGGACCGGAGUGGACGCAUCACUGGUGUUCGGGUUGUCAUGCCAAUGGCACUGCCCGGUAGCUAAAUGCGGAAGAGAUAAGUGCU